RNAcentral lists this long non-coding RNA (503 nucleotides) under Nicotiana benthamiana. RNAcentral describes it as "long non-coding RNA (NBEN_LNC019051)". The record is from RNAcentral. Lineage: Eukaryota; Viridiplantae; Streptophyta; Magnoliopsida; Solanales; Solanaceae.
UUGAACCUAGGGUUUAACUGCUAUCCGGUGGCUCGAUCCUCACUCAGUGGAUGUUUUGGGUGACUUUCCGACAUCCCUGACCAUAUUUCCAGUAAAGUUUUCGAAGGUUACACCUAGGGUUUUGUACCUAGGUUUUUCUCUGUUGAUUGAAGGCCGAUCUUCUCCGGUCGCGAAUAAGGAGGGUAACUCUGUCCUUAUCUUGAGUAUUAUAUGCUUUAUGUGUGAUUAUCUGGCUCCGUAUGUGAGUAUCUGGUUUUGUGUGUGAAUAUCUCGUUUGGUUAUACUCUGCUUGUUGAAACUGUUUUUUUUAAGUCGGUUCAUUGAUUAUGGCUUCUAAUACGAAUGCUGGUACCUCCUCCUCGGUAGACUCUACUAGCCCCCUCUUUGUAUACUCCUCUGAUGUCCCUGGGGUCUCUUUUAUCCCCACUCCCUUCUCGGAAAGUGGUUAUGGGGGUUGGAGGAGAAAAAUGAUUGUUGCAUUAUCUGCUAAAAACAAAAUUGGN